Molecule: ribosomal RNA, 350 nt
Filed under: uncultured bacterium
Lineage: Bacteria
Description: bacterial SSU rRNA
Rfam family: Bacterial small subunit ribosomal RNA
Source: RNAcentral
AAUCAACGCUGGCGGCGUGCCUCAGACAUGCAAGUCGAACGCGAAAGUUCCCUUCGGGGAAUAAGUAGAGUGGCGCACGGGUGAGUAACACGUAGGUAAUCUACCUUAGGGUGGGGAAUAACCCAGGGAAACUUGGGCUAACACCGCAUGAUGCAGCGGCACCACAUGGUGACAGUUGUUAAAGCGGGGGAGUUUUCGGUACCUCGCGCCUGAAGAGGAGCCUGCGGCGGAUUAGCAGUUGGUGAGGUAACGGCUCACCAAGGUACACGAUCCGUAGCCGGCCUGAGAGGGCGGUCGGCCACACUGACACUGACAUACGGGUCAGACUCCUACGGGAGGCAGCAGUCGGG